GGGGGGGGGGGGGCGUGGAGAGUGUUUCAAAAGGUCAAAUGAUCCUGUAGAGAAAAAAACUUGAAAGUCUCAUGGGACCCACUUUCAUCCCACAAAAUUGCUCAAGUAGAUUUUCCAAGUUCAUGCCAACAUCAUUAAUCAAAUAUGAGUAUAUUGCAAAUGUACAUAUUGGGCAUUUCUACAAAUCAUAGUUUAUCUAAAGCUGGAUAAAGUAAAGACAUUGGCUUUACAAUAUCUUACAUUUAAACCAAUUAGGUAAAAUAGAUAAAUGUUUAGUUAAGGAUUCAACCAUAAUGAGGUUUCCUUGGAUUCAGCAGAUUAGGAAAUUGAUGAUUAUUUUUAAGUUCUGCACUAAAUCAGAAGGUAUGAUAGUAAAUUUGUUUGCAAAGUUUUAUUACUGCCAUUCUCAGGGUCAUUUAAUCAAUUUUUAUCUCAUUGUGUAGCCUUCUGGUUAUAAAAUUUCCUACAUAAUGACAUUAACUAGAAUAUACCAACAAAUUCUAAAAAAAGAUUUUAAUAAUCGAAAAAGCACAUGUUGUUCAGUAGAACACCAAAUAUUAAUAUUUAAUAAAUGUGUAUUAUUCAACUUUAUAUGGCAUCUGAAGCUUCUGGCAGGCAUCCAAUAUGGGCAUGACUAAUUAAGUUAUGAAAAGACCAAACAACUUUGUUGCAAUUGAUUUGCCUUACAAGCGGAUAGAAAAGUUGCUUACUCCUUGAAAAGCAUCUGCAUUUGUUUUUGGCCCUCAGCAACGGCUGUGGGGUCCAUACCCUUAUCUUGCACCUGUUGCUUAAUCUCCUCCAAAUGUGGCCUCAAGAG
This 817-nucleotide unclassified non-coding RNA is filed under the name Hevea brasiliensis (rubber tree). Lineage: Eukaryota; Viridiplantae; Streptophyta; Magnoliopsida; Malpighiales; Euphorbiaceae. The record is from RNAcentral.